AUGACAAUGGAGGCCUUCGUCGUUGACGGAGGAAAUGAUGGGACAGUUGCCCGUUGGGGUUUGCGGCCGGUCACAGGUGAUCGGUCGUGGGGGUCGUACAUGAGGUUUGCAAGCAAUCCCAAUAACUCAAUGUAUGGUCAGCCGAUGGUGUAUGUGGAGUUCAUUUCAGUCACUGAUGUUGCCGGAUGCAGUAGCAGGGGUGGUGAGGUCGAGUUGGCCAUCACAUCAGCCCCUAGCGUCGGCCCAUCGGAACCGACGGGCGGCCAGCCUGUGUAUGACACAGGAUAUUGGUCUGCGGCCGUUGACAUGAGCGAACACGUGGAGGGAUUGCUGGAGGCGCUAGAUGAUGAUGAUCAUUCUUCUGCGUCUUCAGAGUCAAGCGAAGAAGAAGAUGUUCCUCCUCAGAGGGCGGUCGCGGCGGCACUGCAACCUGGGUUUUUACAGGAUAUGAGCAUCACCAAUGAAUUUCACUCUGCUUCUGGCCUAGGAGCAGGGAGCCUGGAGGUUGGGUAA
RNAcentral lists this ribosomal RNA (513 nucleotides) under Triticum aestivum (bread wheat). RNAcentral's name for it is "partial small subunit ribosomal RNA". The record is from RNAcentral. Lineage: Eukaryota; Viridiplantae; Streptophyta; Magnoliopsida; Poales; Poaceae.